GCUGACCAAAUGUCUCUUUGUUUUCACGGACAACAGGAGUGAAUCCUUCAGGCAGUGCUCAGGCUCACCCCACCAGAAGCAGUACACGAUCAACGCCACCCUCAGCUAGGUGACCUGCUGGAAGUGAUGUACUCUCUCACUCUGGGGGACACCAAGGUUGACUGUGUGCAGGGGCUGCAUUAGACGUGGCUCGGGAAGCGCACACUCCGCCUAAGUGGAGCAGAAGGGACCCACCUCGGACCCUCCAGGGAGCGUCAGUGAAUGGAUAUGCUAUUCCGAAAAAUAUAAUUAAGGAUGGUGUUUUACAAUGGGAGUCAAGAGCAGAAGGGGAGAACCCUGUAUGCCCAAUCUGCUGACUGGACUGGUAAGACAACACCCCAUCCAGCGACUAUUCGCAGCGACAGAGUAACGCAUUUGUUCCUAUUCAUUGCUCAAAAAUUGCUGGCUGUCAACCUCCCUUUCCCCAUGGUGUGCCAGUCAGGGUUGGUGUGCUGUUCAACUGUUGCCUUGCCAUAUAGCCCCCUGCUCCACCACCGACAGCGCCAUGCCAGCCAGGAUGCCUGCAUGCCCCAGGUGCCCCUAUUUUUUUUUAACAAUGUCUAGUACAGACUGGGAUGACAGGGAGGGUAGCGGUUGUUCUGGCUCAGGUUCAAGGAGCCAUGCCAUUCCACUGAACCUGCCCCGGAGACGGUACCUUAGUCACUGAAGAUCGUCCUCUGUGGGCUCUUGGGACAGAGGGUUCAAGUCUUCGGCCAGGUACAGAUCCCCCACUGACUGUAACUGGUUGGGCCACGGCUGGCUUCCUCCACUCGCAUUCCACAUCAGUACGGACGAUAUUAUGAACCGCCACGGAGGCAUUCACAUGUGGUAGAGAGAAUCCCCUGGUCACCUAUAGAGAUCUGCCAAGAGGAAGGAGGUUAAAUCAAAUCAAAGUUUACAGUGAAAUGCUUACUUACAGGCCCUAACCAACGGUGCAAUUUUUAAGUAAAAAAUAGGUAUUAGGUGAACAAUAGAUAAGAAAGAAAUAAGAAACAACAGUAAAAAGACGGUGAAAAAUGACAGUAGCGAGGCUAUUUAUAGUAGUGAGGCUAUAACAGUAGUGAGGCUAUAUACAGGCACCGGUUAGUCGGGCUAAUUGAGGUAGUAUGUACAUGUAGGUAUGGUUGAAGUGACUAUGCAAAUAUGAUAAACAGAGAGUAGCAGGAGUGUAAAAGAGGGGUGGUGGGUGGUGGGACACAAUAAAGAUAGUCUGGGUAGCCAAUGUGAGGGCACCGGUUAGUCGGGCUAAUUGAGGUAGUAUGUACAUAUGUACAUGAACGUAUAGUUAAAGUGACUAUGCAUAUAUGAUAAACAGAGAGUAGCAGCAGCGUAAAAAGAGGGGUUGGGGGAGCCACAAUGCAAAUAGUCCAGGUAGCCAUUUGAUUACCUGUUCAGGAGUCUUGUGGCUUGGGGGUAAAAGCUGUUGAGAAGCCUUUUGGUCCUAGACCUGGGACUCCGGUAUCGCUUGCCGUGAGGUAGUAGAGAGAGCAGUCUAUGACUGGGGUGGCUGGGGUCUUUGACAAUUGCCCAUGUCUUUCAAUGCAUGACUGUGAACACCUUGAAAUGCAGUCGUUGUAAGAAAUGUGCUAUAUAAAUAUAUUUUUAUUUGAUUGAUGACAUUACAACUGUAGAAUAUUUAAUAAACUGUGAUUUUCACAUGAGGACAAAGUGCAGUUUUUCCAUAAACCUGUAAUUGAUCAUUGGAGAUUUUGUCACUUUACAUAUCAAUCGUAUAGUGGGAAGAAUCCUAUAAAUCAAAACUGUGAAUGCAUGUACCACUCUGAAUAAAUAAAUACUGUGCCUUUGAAGAUUUGUCUCUGGUCAUGAAACUACAAUACAGGCUGGAUGUCAAAACAAAGUAAGUUCUG
Molecule: long non-coding RNA, 1907 nt
Organism: Oncorhynchus tshawytscha (Chinook salmon)
Lineage: Eukaryota; Metazoa; Chordata; Actinopteri; Salmoniformes; Salmonidae
Source: Ensembl